This 301-nucleotide ribosomal RNA is filed under the name uncultured bacterium. Its description in RNAcentral is "partial 16S ribosomal RNA". It matches the Rfam family "Bacterial small subunit ribosomal RNA", at positions 509 to 807 of the family's 1533-position model. The record is from RNAcentral.
CAGUCGCCGCGGUAAUACGAGGGGGGCAAGCGUUGUUCGGAAUUAUUGGGCGUAAAGGGCGCGUAGGCGGUUUGGCAAGUUUGGUGUGAAAUCUUCGGGCUCAACUCGAAGUCUGCAUCGAAAACUGCCGGGCUUGAGUGUGGGAGAGGUGAGUGGAAUUUCCGGUGUAGCGGUGAAAUGCGUAGAUAUCGGAAGGAACACCUGUGGCGAAAGCGGCUCACUGGACCACAACUGACGCUGAGGCGCGAAAGCUAGGGGAGCAAACAGGAUUAGAUACCCCCGUAGUCCCUGUCUCUUAUAC